RNAcentral lists this long non-coding RNA (253 nucleotides) under Elaeis guineensis (African oil palm). Its description in RNAcentral is "long non-coding RNA (EGUI_LNC050911)". The record is from RNAcentral. Lineage: Eukaryota; Viridiplantae; Streptophyta; Magnoliopsida; Arecales; Arecaceae.
CUGAUUAGAUCAUCCGAAUCGUGCUCAACUCAAACAGUCCUAUGACUCCUCACUAGGACUGUCCUGUCAAGAUUUUGCUAAAUUGAAACAUGACUAUACAUAGCUCCUGAACUGGAGUAGUCAAUCCCAUCUUGACAUAUACACCGACAAGUCAAGUACUUGACUACACCCAGUAGCCUUCCGUCAUUAAAUUAGAAAUUCAGGUAUUCCAGUGCCUAAGUGCAGUGAGUUGCUUGCAAGUCACUGUGGCGGU